Molecule: ribosomal RNA, 1581 nt
Filed under: Triticum aestivum (bread wheat)
Lineage: Eukaryota; Viridiplantae; Streptophyta; Magnoliopsida; Poales; Poaceae
Description: partial small subunit ribosomal RNA
Source: RNAcentral
AUGGGUAAAGACAUUGUUGAUUUCGCUCUUCCAAGCAUAGAUGAUGCGUUUGACCCAACAAAGGGCGAGGCAAGAGAGGUUAUCGAGGAAUCAACCGUUGAGUUUGACAUGGAUGACACAAAAUUGGCAUCUUCACUGAACAUGGAGCAGAGGGCCGCAUACGAUGAGAUACUAGGGGCUGUUGAACGCGGUGAUGGGGGUGUAUUCUUUGUUGAUGGCCCUGGAGGUACAGGGAAGAGCUUCCUAUAUAGGGCGAUGCUUGCCAAGGUGAGGAGCCAGGGCAAGAUUGGUAUCGCUACCGCGACGUCCGGCAUCGCCGCUUCUAUCAUGCCUGGCGGCAGGACUGCCCACUCAAGAUUCAAGAUCCCAUUGAGUUGCGAUGAUGGAGCCUCGUGCAGCUUCACCAAGCAGAGUGGGACCGCCAAGCUACUACGGAUGGCCUCAUUGAUACUAUGGGACGAGGCCAGCAUGACUAAGCGACAAGCGGUUGAGGCAUUGGACAAUAGCAUGCGCGACAUCAUGGGAAUACACGACCGACCCUUUGGAGGAAAGACUGUUGUUUUUGGCGGGGACUUUAGGCAGGUUCUUCCGGUCGUCAGAAGGGGGUCGCGGGGCCAGAUAAUUGAUGCAACCCUCCGCAGUUCUCAUCUAUGGAAGGGUAUGCGACAGCUUUGGCUCAUCACCAACAUGAGGGCUCAUAAUGACACGUGGUUUGUCGAUUACUUGCUAAGGGUCGGCAAUGGCACUGAGGAUGUCAACGAUCAAGGCAACAUAGUACUCCCUGAAGAUAUUUGUCUGCCGUCUACAGGCGAGGUUGAUGACCUGGAGAAGCUUAUUGACCAUGUAUUUCCGAGUCUAGACGACAACAUGGCUGAUUCGAAUUACAUGACAUCUCGAGCUAUCCUUUCCACAACAAACGACAAUGUAGACAAGAUAAACAUCCGCAUGAUAGAGCGUUUUCAUGGAGAUGAAGUAAUCUACCAUAGCUUUGACAGUGCGGAGGAUGACCCAUAUGGCUACUAUGCUCAGGAGUUUCUGAAUGGAUUGACUCCUAAUGGUCUUCCUCCGCAUGCUCUCAAGCUAAAGCUGAACUGCCGUGUCAUACUUCUAAGGAACAUUGAUCCAGCUAAUGGACUGUGUAAUGGCACUAGGCUUGUUGUUAGAGGUUUUGAGAGGAACACCAUUGAUGCAGAAAUCGUGAUUGGACAACACGCUGGCAGGAGGGUCUUCCUUCCUCGAAUACCUCUCUGCCCAUCUGAAAAUGACAUGUUUCCAUUCAAGUUUAAGAGGAAGCAAUUUCCAAUAAGGCUUAGCUUUGCUAUGACCAUUAACAAGGCUCAAGGGCAGACCAUCCCGAUUGUUGGUGUCUACCUACCCAAUCCCGUGUUCUCACAUGGUCAGCUCUAUGUUGCUUUGCCUCGAGCCACCGCGAAGAGAAACAUAAAGAUACUCAUUCAGAAGGAAAAGCCGAAGGAGAAGGCCAACAAGCAUAAGGACAAUACAAAGAAGCGAAAAAGAAUGACCGUGUCCUUACUGACCUCGAUGAAGAACAUCGUAUACAAGGAAGUCCUUACAGGCUGA